Molecule: non-coding RNA, 46 nt
Filed under: Smaragdicoccus niigatensis DSM 44881 = NBRC 103563
Lineage: Bacteria; Bacillati; Actinomycetota; Actinomycetes; Mycobacteriales; Nocardiaceae
Description: L31-Actinobacteria ribosomal protein leader
Rfam family: L31-Actinobacteria ribosomal protein leader
Source: RNAcentral
CCGGUUCCGGUUCACGUGAACGAAAGAGCGUCACGACCCGGCGACC